CCAAAACAUCGCCUCUUGACAAAUAUAAGAGGUCCAGCCUGCCCAGUGACAAAUUUAACGGCCGCGGUACCCUACCGCGCGAAGGUAGCAUAAUCACUUGUUCUUUAAAUGAGGACUAGUAUCAACGGCACCACGAGGGCCCAACUGUCUCCUCUCUCCAAUCAAUGAAACUGAUCUCUCCGUGAAGAAGCGGAGAUUUAACUAUAAGACGAGAAGACCCCAUGGAGCUUUAAACCUGACUACACCCUUAUCUAUUAUACCCCCUUAAUCAACAGGACCCUGUCUGUCAGUUUUAGGUUGGGGUGACCACGGAGCACAAAUAAACCUCCAUGAUGAACUGGACUAACCCAUUAUCUAAGAAAAACACCUCAAAGAAUUAGCACACUAACAUAAAAUGAUCCGACACUCGAUCAACGAACCAAGUUACCCUGGGGAUAACAGCGCAAUCUACUUCAAGAGCCCAUAUCGACAAGUGGGUUUACGACCUCGAUGUUGGAUCAGGGUAUCCUAGUGGUGCAGCAGCUACUAAAGGUUCGUUUGUUCAACGAUUAAAACCCU
RNAcentral lists this ribosomal RNA (558 nucleotides) under Spinomantis aglavei. RNAcentral's name for it is "partial 16S ribosomal RNA". It matches the Rfam family "Bacterial large subunit ribosomal RNA", at positions 1808 to 2597 of the family's 2925-position model. Lineage: Eukaryota; Metazoa; Chordata; Amphibia; Anura; Mantellidae. The record is from RNAcentral.